This 433-nucleotide ribosomal RNA is filed under the name uncultured bacterium. RNAcentral describes it as "partial 16S ribosomal RNA". It matches the Rfam family "Bacterial small subunit ribosomal RNA", at positions 28 to 507 of the family's 1533-position model. The record is from RNAcentral.
GACGAACGCUGGCGGCAUGCCUAACACAUGCAAGUCGAACGAGAACUUCGUGCCUAGGGGCGCAGGGCUGCGUAACACGGGGGAACCUGCACUUGAGUUCGGAAUCACUCACCGAAAGGGAUGCUAAUACCGGAUAAUGUCUUAGGGCCAAAGAUCUAUCGCCGUUGGAUGGGCCCGCGUUGGCUUAGCUAGUUGGUAGGGUACAAGCCUACCAAGGCCACGAUCCAUAGCUGGUCGGGGAGGAUGAUCAGCCACACUGGGACUGAGACACGGCCCAGACUCCUACGCGAGGCAGGAGUGUGGUAUAUUGGACGCGGGGCGCAAGUCUGAUACCGCAACGCGGCGUGAGAGAGGAAGGCGUUAGGAUUGUAAAUCUCUUUUACCCGGGAUGAUAAUGACAGUACCGGGAGAAUAAGCACCGGCUAACUACGUG